GAUGAACGCUGGCGGCGUGCCUAAUACAUGCAAGUCGAGCGAACAGACGAGGAGCUUGCUCCUCUGACGUUAGCGGCGGACGGGUGAGUAACACGUGGAUAACCUACCUAUAAGACUGGGAUAACUUCGGGAACCCGGAGCUAAUACCGGAUAAUAUAUUGAACCGCAUGGUUCAAUAGUGAAAGACGGUUUUGCUGUCACUUAUAGAUGUAUCCGCGCCGCAUUAGCUAGUUGGUAAGGUAACGGCCUACCAAGGCAACGAUGCGUAGCCGACCUGAGAGGAUGAUCGGCCACACUGGAACUGAGACACGGUCCAGACUCCUACGGGAGGCAGCAGUAGGGAAUAUUGCGCAAAGGGCGAAAGCCUGAUCGAGCAACGCCGCGGGAGUGAAGAAGGUCUUCGGAUUGUAAAACUCUUUUAGUUGGGAAGAACCAAAGUGUAAGUAAACAUUGCCGUUUUGACGGUACCUAAAGAAAAAGCCCCGGCUAACUUCGUG
RNAcentral lists this ribosomal RNA (497 nucleotides) under uncultured bacterium. Its description in RNAcentral is "partial 16S ribosomal RNA". It matches the Rfam family "Bacterial small subunit ribosomal RNA", at positions 28 to 507 of the family's 1533-position model. The record is from RNAcentral.